This 289-nucleotide ribosomal RNA is filed under the name uncultured bacterium. Its description in RNAcentral is "partial 16S ribosomal RNA". It matches the Rfam family "Bacterial small subunit ribosomal RNA", at positions 775 to 1062 of the family's 1533-position model. The record is from RNAcentral.
GGAUUAGAUACCCGGGUAGUCCUAGCCGUAAACGAUGGAUACUAGGCGUUGUGAGUAUCGACCCUCACAGUGUCGUAGCUAACGCGUUAAGUAUCCCGCCUGGGGAGUACGCGCGCAAGCGUGAAACUCAAAGGAAUUGACGGGGGCCCGCACAAGCGGUGGAGUAUGUGGUUUAAUUCGAUGCAACGCGAAGAACCUUACCAGGGCUUGACAUGUCGCGAAUCUCAGGGAAACUUGAGAGUGCCUUCGGGAGCGCGAACACAGGUGGUGCAUGGCUGUCGUCAGCUCG